GCAGGUGUCGAUCUUUGGGUGCCGGUUUCUUGUAAACAGAAGGUUAGGGGUUCAAGUCCCCUCGCCGGCU
This 70-nucleotide transfer RNA is filed under the name Actinomadura algeriensis. Its description in RNAcentral is "tRNA-Leu". The record is from RNAcentral. Lineage: Bacteria; Bacillati; Actinomycetota; Actinomycetes; Streptosporangiales; Thermomonosporaceae.